RNAcentral lists this ribosomal RNA (253 nucleotides) under uncultured bacterium. RNAcentral's name for it is "partial 16S ribosomal RNA". It matches the Rfam family "Bacterial small subunit ribosomal RNA", at positions 524 to 776 of the family's 1533-position model. The record is from RNAcentral.
GACAGAGGUGCCAAGCGUUAGGCGGAAUCACUGGGCUUAAAGCGUGUGUAGGCGGAUCGUUAAGUACCUUGUGAAAUCCCACGGCUCAACCGUGGAACUGCUGGGUAUACUGGCGGUCUUGAGCCACCUAGGGGCAACUGGAACAAGCGGUGGAGCGGUGAAAUGCGUAGAUAUCGCUUGGAACGCCAAUGGUGAAAACAGGUAGCUGGGGCUGUGCUGACGCUGAGACACGAAAGCCAGGGGAGCAAACGGG